CCUUUAUCCAGAGCGGCGUAGGGAUCUGGCCCAGUUAUCGCCGCAGCAACCGGCCCUCAUCACGGCAUCGGUGCUUGACCAGCCCGCACGCGCCAACGAUGGCUCCACAGUCGCGACGGGAACGAUAAGGG
This 131-nucleotide non-coding RNA is filed under the name Deinococcus deserti. Its description in RNAcentral is "SAM-I sequence". It matches the Rfam family "SAM riboswitch aptamer (S box leader)". From Rfam's summary of the family: The SAM riboswitch is found upstream of a number of genes which code for proteins involved in methionine or cysteine biosynthesis in Gram-positive bacteria. The SAM riboswitch acts at the level of transcription termination control. The predicted structure consists of a complex stem-loop region followed by a single stem loop terminator region. The record is from RNAcentral. RNAcentral also lists the same sequence under 1 other name. Lineage: Bacteria; Thermotogati; Deinococcota; Deinococci; Deinococcales; Deinococcaceae.